GUGUCAGCCGCCGCGGUAAUACGUAGGGAGCAAGCGUUGUCCGGAAUUACUGGGCGUAAAGGGCGUGUAGGCGGGAAUUUAAGUAAGGUGUGAAAACUCCGGGCUCAACCUGGAGACUGCACUUUAAACUGAGUUUCUUGAGGGCAGGAGAGGAAAGUGGAAUUCCUAGUGUAGCGGUGAAAUGCGUAGAUAUUAGGAGGAACACCAGUGGCGAAGGCGACUUUCUGGACUGUACCUGACGCUGAGGCGCGAAAGCGUGGGGAGCGAACAGGAUUAGAAACCCGCGUAGUCC
This 292-nucleotide ribosomal RNA is filed under the name uncultured bacterium. RNAcentral describes it as "partial 16S ribosomal RNA". It matches the Rfam family "Bacterial small subunit ribosomal RNA", at positions 505 to 796 of the family's 1533-position model. The record is from RNAcentral.